UACAGAGGUCCCAAGCGUUGUCCGGAUUUACUGGGCGUAAAGCGAACGCAGGCGGGCCUUUAAGUAGGAAGUGAAAGGUUGGAGCUUAACUCUAACACUGCUCCCUAUACUGGAGGCCUUGAGUUUCGGAGAGGAAGACGGAACUGCAGGUGUAGCGGUGAAAUGCGUUGAUAUCUGCAGGAACACCAAUGGCGAAAGCAGUCUUCUGGACGAAUACUGACGCUCAGGUUCGAAAGCCAAGGUAGCAAACAGG
RNAcentral lists this ribosomal RNA (253 nucleotides) under uncultured bacterium. Its description in RNAcentral is "partial 16S ribosomal RNA". It matches the Rfam family "Bacterial small subunit ribosomal RNA", at positions 524 to 776 of the family's 1533-position model. The record is from RNAcentral.